Molecule: long non-coding RNA, 2431 nt
Filed under: Homo sapiens (human)
Lineage: Eukaryota; Metazoa; Chordata; Mammalia; Primates; Hominidae
Description: HSALNT0219345
Source: RNAcentral
UAGGAUGUGUACAUAGAGAGAAAGAGAUUUAUCAUAAGGAAGCAGCUCACAAUUAUGGAGGCUGGCAAAUCCAGAAUCUGCAGCGUGGGCCAGCAGGCUGAAGACGCAGGAGAGCUAAUGGUGCAGCUUCAAGGGAAACCAUGCUUGUUCUUCUGGACAAAUCCCUCCAACUCUGUCACCUUCAGGACCUUGAAGCUUAUUUCCAGCCAUCUCAGACAAGAGUUGGAAAUGAGGUAAGGACUCAGAUACCUCCUCACUGAGGAGCGACCCUGGCUGAGCAGUGGAUGAAAUGUGUACUCAGACACAGGUAUGCAGUGUAAGAGCAGCUAGGGGACUGCCCAGCUCAAGUGGCCAAAGUGCAGCCCUGAGAAGCUGGAGCUGCUUGCUUUUAUUCAGUGCAGGCACAAUGCCAAAAGCCUGGAGCAAACACUGGAGGUAAUUAACAUUUAUUGUUCCCCUUUCAGGGAAGGUCAUGGGCGUAGAUGAUCAAAGGUCAGUUCCUGGUCAACAGAAGUAAACAAGCCUGUUUAAGAUAAAUUCCCCCACACUCCCUCGUACCUACUCCUUGCCCUCUGCCUCAGGGUUAUAGAACAGCUGUCUUUAGCUAUUCUCCUCCAAAGCUAUGCAGAGCCUUCCAACCUUUCAGAAGGCCUGCUCCUUUCCCUAUAGCUUCUCCCACCACUCUGACCAAUCUCCUACACUUGUGGCCCCCUUUUUCUUCCCUUGCCUCAUGAGGAGCUCUGACAAGUUGAUGAAUGAUGUCCCUGCUCCUGUGUUUCUACCCAGCUUCAAGGGAAACCAUGCUUGCUCUUCUAGACAAAUCCCUCCAACUCUGUCACCUUCAGGACCCUGAAGCUUAUUUCCAGCCAUCUCAGAUAAGGGUUGGGAAUGAGGUAAAGACUCAGAUCUCUCCUGAGGAGCAGACAUUAAACUGGCUGGGUUACCUUCGGCCCCUCCCCUGGCUUCUUGCUCUGCGUGGCUCCCAGAUUCAGUCUUGUUGGAGCCUCCCCAUCCCUGGCUGAGAUCCUCCCUGUACUUCUGGCCAAUAUCUGGGCCACAGCACUAGCCCAGCCUCCUGCCCCCUGCCCCCUGCCCUUGAUCUUGUCCCAGUCUCCUCCCAAACCUUAUCUGAGCACAAGUGGCAUUGCCUACACUUCUGUGUGAGAAGGUCCCCGCCCACUCUGCACAAGCCCACGUUUGCCUCCUUCACAAGCCUUGCUGGCCUGCGGGGACAGACGCUGGCCUCUGCAACCCUGGGGCUGCUGAUCACAUAGCUGAAGCAGAGACCUUAUUGUAAGCAACUUUUCAUGUGUGUGUGUAUGCCUUUUUCUUGGGAGAGGGUCUGUGGUUUAUAUCAGCUCUUCAAAAAGUCCACAUGGGUUAGGAAUCAUGAAAGCAUUGCAUGCUUUUUUGUGGUUGGUGGGUGACGAUCCAUUUCUUAGAAUGUAGGUUCCCAUUCAUUUAUCAAAUAUUUACUGAGCACCUACCAUGUAUCAACUGCUGCUCUAGGCACUGAGGAUACAGCAGUGAACAAAACAGAUGGUAGAAUGACUUUCUAGGAGCCAGAGACAGCCUGAGGCUCUAAUGGGCACUGAAGAAACACCACAGAUUCUAAGUUGUGAACGCUGUGCAGUUCUGAGCUGUGAACCCUAUGAAGGUUUUACUAACAAGUUAUUGAUGACGGCAGGCACAGCAGUGUUGAUGACAAUGGCCACAGCAGGAGCCAGAUAAACUCCCAGAUAAACCUCUCACUGCUGAACCAAGGGGAGGGGCCGUGGCCUGUGACAGGCAGCCAUGGUGAGGAGGCAGAGGAGAACUGAGGUGUCCCCACCCCAUGCCAGCCCAAAUAACUGGCUCCCCCAGCCCUCGCAACUCAUGCCAGCUGGAGGGCUGCAGAUCCCAGGCCAGGCCAAGACACAGGCUGGGCUCCAGUCACCCUUCCCCAACCUGGAAACCAGAACUAGUCUUCUUUCCAGACUCAGGACAGGUAAGGCUUCCCAGCACAGGUGUUCCUGACAGCGUGUCUGUGUGAGAGAGCAUGGAGCAGGGGGUGCAGCCAAGAGGGAGCCCCUGGGACAGGGGGCAGAAGGAACAAGGUCUCAAGUGCUGCUGCAGGCUCCUAGGCAGCUCAGCACUGGAGGCAUAUGCUGCAGAGGCCGUGGCCAGAUGGAGAGGGCCUGGCCAGAACGGGAUCUCCUCUUCACGAAUCUGAGGGCUGCCCACACUAGAGAGGUUCUAGGUAUUUGGAGAGUCCCUGGCGGGUCAGGGGAAAUGGAGAAGAGGGAGAGUGAGAAACAAAACUUGCCAAGACCCAUUGGAUGCAUCUGGGAAAGAGGCAAGAGCCCAGGCGAGGCUCCCUCUGCACUGCCCAUGCCUUGGAGUAACCCACCUCCAGGAACUUGCACACCCUCCUGCCCCACAUACAGGUGCA